GUGCCCGUAGCUCAAGGGCAGAGCGCCUGACUGUGGAUCAGGAGGCUGCGGGUUCGAUCCCCGUCGGGCACC
This 72-nucleotide transfer RNA is filed under the name Anaerolineales bacterium. RNAcentral describes it as "tRNA-His". It matches the Rfam family "tRNA". Rfam says of the family: Transfer RNA (tRNA) molecules are approximately 80 nucleotides in length. Their secondary structure includes four short double-helical elements and three loops (D, anti-codon, and T loops). Lineage: Bacteria; Bacillati; Chloroflexota; Anaerolineae; Anaerolineales. RNAcentral also lists the same sequence under 1 other name. The record is from RNAcentral.